This 372-nucleotide long non-coding RNA is filed under the name Setaria italica (foxtail millet). RNAcentral's name for it is "long non-coding RNA (SITA_LNC002208)". The record is from RNAcentral. Lineage: Eukaryota; Viridiplantae; Streptophyta; Magnoliopsida; Poales; Poaceae.
UUCAGCCCGCUAGAAGCAGCUAUCGCUAAACCUAGAAGCAGUCCCUUGACAAGUGAGAGCUCUAAAGUGAGGCGAUCGGAGAUAGCAACCGAAGUCACAUUUUACAUGAUCCCAGCUAUGCUUCUUGUCUCCAGAAACAGCAUAAGCACCUCUCUCCUGGUUGGCGCGGUGUUCCAUCAAGUGUACAUGUUCCACAAGGAGAUCCUUCUGGACUACGUGCACCAUGAUAUCACCAGGAAGUGGUCUUUGAUAUACUUCAAGCUGCUUCUGCUGGUGAUGGCGAAGGACACCAUCAUGUACUUCAAUUUGUUCCCUUUUUUCUAAGCUCGGCCUUUUAGUUUCUCGAUGGACCCGCAAUGCACUCAGCUGCAG